UCCUCGUUAGUAUAGUGGCUAGUGUCUCUGCUUGUCAUGCAGAAGACUGGGGUUCGAUUCUCCAAUGAGGAG
Molecule: non-coding RNA, 72 nt
Organism: Sphaeramia orbicularis (orbiculate cardinalfish)
Lineage: Eukaryota; Metazoa; Chordata; Actinopteri; Kurtiformes; Apogonidae
Source: the annotation of a RefSeq genome assembly